Molecule: microRNA precursor, 105 nt
Filed under: Canis lupus dingo (dingo)
Lineage: Eukaryota; Metazoa; Chordata; Mammalia; Carnivora; Canidae
Description: mir-8834 microRNA precursor family
Rfam family: mir-8834 microRNA precursor family
Source: Rfam by way of RNAcentral
AGGAGGAACAGCCCCAGUGGCGGGGCCAGCUCUGGAAACCUGGAUUCAGCCCCCGCAGGAACUCCGGAGCUCUCGGUCUGCAGGGCCUGGAGGCUCCGGGGCGGG